UGGAAAUGAUGAAAUUGAGGUCAUGGGAUAGAAGGGUGUAUGUAUGCAAGAAACAGGGUGGAGGUCUUUAUUUUAAUUAAAAUUAAGGGGUGUGUGUGUGUGUGUGUGUGUGUAGGUAGGGCGGCUAUAUAUGGUGCAGACUGUGGGUACUGAAAAAAGCUGCUGAUUUCGGAGUGCAUCUGAGGCACUGUUGCUAAAAAUUAUGGGGCAUUUUCUGCAGCAUUGCCAGUGAUUAGAGCCCCAAGUAAGCCCAUAGUUUGCACCAAGAGAUUGUAAACCUCUAACAGGUUCAUUUUGUCAUAAUGUACCUUGUGAUCUGAUCUAA
This 325-nucleotide small nucleolar RNA is filed under the name Pogona vitticeps (central bearded dragon). RNAcentral's name for it is "Small Cajal body-specific RNA 7 (ENSPVIG00000020418.1)". It matches the Rfam family "Small Cajal body-specific RNA 7". The record is from Rfam by way of RNAcentral. Lineage: Eukaryota; Metazoa; Chordata; Lepidosauria; Squamata; Agamidae.